This is a long non-coding RNA of Cydia fagiglandana, 1251 nucleotides long. RefSeq lists it as uncharacterized. NCBI's taxonomy places the organism in Eukaryota, Metazoa, Arthropoda, Insecta, Lepidoptera, Tortricidae. The record is from RefSeq and is a predicted model, not a curated record. The transcript is spliced from 2 exons.
UAGACAUUUUCUUAGAUUUUAAAUUAAUAUUUUUGGGUUGAAUUCCUUUUCUUAUUUCAACGAUUUUAACAAUAUCCCAAACUAACUCGAUUGAUUGCACUUCUUUGCAUAAUCUGUUGCAUUCAGAUGCACCUUUUGAUGCUUAUCUGUUGUCGGGGUUGUCAUAUGAGUAAAAAUAAUUAAAACUUGAGAUAUUUAUGUUGUCACUCCAGGAAAACUUUGUAUGAUUUAGGUAUGAUUUUUAUAGAUAGAAAAUAAGUUUGAUGUAAAACAAAACAUAUAAAUUACAGACUUACAAAGUGGCUCUGAAAUGAAACCUUAUUAGAUUUAAUGAUAAAAAUAUAUUUCUUAGGCUCAUGAGUGAAUUUGUCUAAAUAAUCAGUUCAGAAUUUUCGAAGAAUUUGUGUCUUCAGGGGAUUGGCACCCUACUUUUGUUUUUUUGCCUUUUGUUCUCAACAUAUGAGAAGGUCAUUCUGAGGUGACAUGCACUUUUGAUGUGUGGACCCCUCCGGGGACGCACGCUCGCAUGAGCCCUAUUUUGUGAUAAGACCACACAUUCCACAUGGUGGUCAAAAUGGUGGAAGCAGUUCGAGUCCUUCGGUGUGUUCCACUGAAGUUGACUCCUGCUCGAGGGAAGGGAGCGCUCCGCCAGAAGUCCUAACAGCUUCCAGUGCGGUGAGCUAAAUUUCGAAUUGUUUCAUUUUUUCUCUAGCGGCCAUAAAGGGCAUCGGCUAAUAUUUCCUUUUCUCGCUUUGCAGGAGCCGGGAUGUUUCUAGAUGUUUCUAGAAGCUUUCGAUGCUUCUAGAUGUUUCAAGAUGUUUUAAGAGCUUUCGAUUUCUUAUGAAAUUUAUUUUGAAGAUGUUUGGAACUUUUAAAAUGCUGUGGGAUCUGUCCCACGCCAUCUGCACUGGCCGGCUCCAACCAGGUCAGCAGUCAGCUUCCCGGGGAUAGGAGAGGUCACUCCCCGCUGCUCCAGUUCCAGCAGCUGUUUUGAGGUCGGUCCAAUGCAUCCUUGAAUUUUGUAGGGCAUCUGCGCUCAGCUACAAAUUUAAAAUGUAUUUGAAGAGAAGUAGUUUUUUUAAUUUAAAGUUUUGAAAGUUCUGGUGCAUAAAACUUAGGUAUUUCGAAAUUUAGUCUUUAGUAAUUAAUUAAUUGGUGUAAACCUUAUAACAUGAACCUGUGAAGCGACCCAGCUAUACCACUGAGCUUUUACACUAUAACUUUAGGUUAAUAAAGUUUGUUAGAUUUAAA